UAAGUAUUGCAAGAGUGAAGAGCAGCUAGUAGAUAUACUGACAAAGGCACUCCCAAAGCAUAAGUUUUGUUAUCUCAGAAAUCUCAUUGGAGUUGUGAAGAAAGUGCAUUAAGGGGGAGUGUUGGAAGUUAAUGCACUUAGAACCUGUUUUAAUUACUGUUGUCUUUCCUAUGCAGUCCAAGUUGUAUGGUCAAUGUGUCUCUUCAUUUCUCUAUGAUCAUGUCUUCUCUCUUUAAUGUUUCAGAUAUGUUCAAUGUGUUUUAAGAAAAUUUGUAAGCCCUGCUGUCUUGUAAGGAAGUCUAAAAGACAUAAGAAAAAUCCCUUCAGAAUAUUGCCUUUGUUACCCUCUGCACAUCUGAUUUAUGAGCUCUGCUGUAGCAACUCAAGUUUGAUUAAAUCAGAAACUUUAUUCAGGUUCUUUAGACAAUCAACAGGGUUUUCUGAUGUCACAGCUAAGCUAACAGCUUCUAUCAUCGGAGGACACAAGGUUGUAGGACAAGAAUGAAAGUUGGAUAAAGGAAGUAGCGAAGGAGAAAG
Molecule: long non-coding RNA, 537 nt
Filed under: Phoenix dactylifera (date palm)
Lineage: Eukaryota; Viridiplantae; Streptophyta; Magnoliopsida; Arecales; Arecaceae
Description: long non-coding RNA (PDAC_LNC022262)
Source: RNAcentral